This 505-nucleotide ribosomal RNA is filed under the name uncultured bacterium. RNAcentral's name for it is "partial 16S ribosomal RNA". It matches the Rfam family "Bacterial small subunit ribosomal RNA", at positions 28 to 507 of the family's 1533-position model. The record is from RNAcentral.
GACGAACGCUGGCGGCGUGCCUAAUACAUGCAAGUAGAACGCACAGAUUAUACCGUAGCUUGCUACACCAUAGACGGUGAGUUGCGAACGGGAGAGUAACGCGUAGGUAACCUGCCUGGGAGCGGGGGGUAACUAUUGGAAACGAUAGCUAAUACCGCAUAAUAUUCAUUAUUGCAUGAUAAUUAAUUGACAGGUGCAAUUGCACCACUACCAGCUGGACCUGCGUUGUAUUAGCUAGUAGGAGAGGUAACGGCGCACCCAGGCGACGAUUCAUAGCCGACCUGGGGAGGUGGUCGGCCCCCCUUGGACCGGGACACGGCCCCGACUCCUUCGGGAGGCCGCAGUAGGGGAUCUUCGGCCAUGGACGAAAGUCUUACCGGGCAACCCCGCGGGAGUGAAGAAGGUUCUCGGAUCGUAAAGCUCUGUUGUAAGGGAAGAACGGGUGUGAGAGUGGAAAGUUCACACUGUGACGGUAUCUUACCAGAAAGGGACGGCUAACUACGUG